CCUACGGGUGGCAGCAGUGAGGAAUAUUGGUCAAUGGCCGGAAGGCUGAACCAGCCAAGCCGCGUGAAGGACGAAAGUGCCAAGCAUUGUAAACUUCUUUUGUCAAGGGACAAAAUCAGGCUCGAGAGCCUGACCGAGGGUACUUGAAGAAAAAGCAUCGGCUAACUCCGUGCCAGCAGCCGCGGUAAUACGGAGGAUGCGAGCGUUAUCCGGAUUUAUUGGGUUUAAAGGGUGCGUAGGCGGACUGUUAAGUCAGCGGUAAAAGCCCGGGGCUCAACCCUGAGCCUGCAUUUGAAACUGUGUUUCUUGAGUGCUGGAGAGGCAAUCGGAAUUCCGUGUGUAGCGGUGAAAUGCGUAGAUAUACGGAGGAACACCAGUGGCGAAGGCGGAUUGCUGGACAGUAACUGACGCUGAGGCGCGAAAGCGUGGGGAGCAAACAGGAUUAGAUACCCGAGUAGUC
This 460-nucleotide ribosomal RNA is filed under the name uncultured bacterium. Its description in RNAcentral is "partial 16S ribosomal RNA". It matches the Rfam family "Bacterial small subunit ribosomal RNA", at positions 338 to 795 of the family's 1533-position model. The record is from RNAcentral.